CGCGAGCGUGGUGGCGCGGUCGAAACGGUAAUCCGAGUCGACGUCGGGCACAUGGGGAUCGCUGUUGGAAUAGGCAGGAACCUCGAGAUCGCUGUCGAUACCGAAGACCUGACGAACCGACACUUUCAUGUCGGGGAGGUUCGUGGAUUCCUGCGAUAGAGUCGUGGCGGCGCUCAUCAAUCCUCCGUGGUCCCGGAUGCUCCCGAAACCAGACGUGCUUGCUGCGGGUGGGGUGCGUGAUUCAACCUAGCAGACAGAUGCAAAGGGCAGAAGCCCACCCCGCAAUGAAAGUUCCNGUUCCAGUGUAUUUUCAUUGAGAUAAGCUAUUUUUGCGCGUUUGGUAGGUCUGCCCUGCGAUUGUGAC
RNAcentral lists this unclassified non-coding RNA (364 nucleotides) under Hevea brasiliensis (rubber tree). The record is from RNAcentral. Lineage: Eukaryota; Viridiplantae; Streptophyta; Magnoliopsida; Malpighiales; Euphorbiaceae.